GUGCCAGCAGCCGCGGUAAUACGUAGGGCGCAAGCGUUAUCCGGAAUUAUUGGGCGUAAAGAGCUCGUAGGCGGUUUGUCGCGUCUGCUGUGAAAAUCCGGAGGCUCAACCUCCGGCCUGCAGUGGGUACGGGCAGACUAGAGUGCGGUAGGGGAGAUUGGAAUUCCUGGUGUAGCGGUGGAAUGCGCAGAUAUCAGGAGGAACACCGAUGGCGAAGGCAGAUCUCUGGGCCGUAACUGACGCUGAGGAGCGAAAGGGUGGGGAGCAAACAGGCUUAGAUACCCUGGUAGUCC
This 293-nucleotide ribosomal RNA is filed under the name uncultured microorganism. RNAcentral's name for it is "partial 16S ribosomal RNA". It matches the Rfam family "Bacterial small subunit ribosomal RNA", at positions 505 to 796 of the family's 1533-position model. The record is from RNAcentral.